This 18-nucleotide non-coding RNA is filed under the name Mus musculus (house mouse). RNAcentral also lists the same sequence under 5 other names. The record is from RNAcentral. Lineage: Eukaryota; Metazoa; Chordata; Mammalia; Rodentia; Muridae.
GUAGGUGAACCUGCGGAA